This 482-nucleotide ribosomal RNA is filed under the name uncultured bacterium. RNAcentral describes it as "partial 16S ribosomal RNA". It matches the Rfam family "Bacterial small subunit ribosomal RNA", at positions 355 to 829 of the family's 1533-position model. The record is from RNAcentral.
UAGGGAAUCUUCCACAAUGGACGCAAGUCUGAUGGAGCAACGCCGCGUGAGUGAAGAAGGUUUUCGGACCGUAAAGCUCUGUUGUUGGUGAAGAAGGAUAGAGGUAGUAACUGGCCUUUAUUUGACGGUAAUCAACCAGAAAGUCACGGCUAACUACGUGCCAGCAGCCGCGGUAAUACGUAGGUGGCAAGCGUUGUCCGGAUUUAUUGGGCGUAAAGCGAGCGCAGGCGGAAGAAUAAGUCUGAUGUGAAAGCCCUCGGCUUAACCGAGGAAUUGCAUCGGAAACUGUUUUCUUGAGUGCAGAAGAGGAGAGUAGAACUCCAUGUGUAGCGGUGGAAUGCGUAGAUAUAUGGAAGAAUACCAGUGGCGAAGGCGGCUCUCUGGUCUGCAACUGACGCUGAGGCUCGAAAGCAUGGGUAGCGAACAGGAUUAGAUACCCUUGGUAGUCCAUGCCGUAAACGAUGAGUGCUAAGUGUUGGGAG